RNAcentral lists this ribosomal RNA (279 nucleotides) under Hygrobates nigromaculatus. Its description in RNAcentral is "partial 28S ribosomal RNA". Lineage: Eukaryota; Metazoa; Arthropoda; Arachnida; Trombidiformes; Hygrobatidae. The record is from RNAcentral.
AGUUGGAAGUGAAAUUCAUUUUGUCGACAAUGUUGUUGGCGGUUAGUUGCUUGCUUGUCAAGUGAUUAUUGUUAACAUUAUGUUGUCGUCAAUGCACUUUUCACUUUCACGAUGGAGCUCUGACUCUUAACAGUCAACUUGAUUGUUUAGUGCAACCUUUCAUUGUGGUUGAGUUUACUUCGGUAUUCUCAUUCACUUCGAGAGGAGAUAAUCAAGUUAUGGUUAAGRGGUGAAUUUCUUGCAAUUGCAAGUUUUCAGGUCGUCAGUUGAUUAGGUGUA